Molecule: transfer RNA, 72 nt
Organism: Culex pipiens (northern house mosquito)
Lineage: Eukaryota; Metazoa; Arthropoda; Insecta; Diptera; Culicidae
Rfam family: tRNA
About the family: Transfer RNA (tRNA) molecules are approximately 80 nucleotides in length.
Source: Rfam
GGAACCGUGAUGUAGGGGUAAACGUGAUUGCCUCUCACCCAGUCGGCCUGGGUUCGAUCCCAGACGGUCCCG